AACGAACGCUGGCGGCGCGCCUAAUACAUGCAAGUCGAGCGAGAAGACGUAGCAAUACGUUUGUAAAGCGGCGAACGGGUGAGGAAUACAUGGGUAACCUACCCUCGAGUGGGGAAGUAACUAGCCGAAAGGUUAGCUAAUACCGCGUACGCUCCUUGGACUUCGGUUCAGGGAGGGAAAGACGAUACCGUGGGUAGUCGCGCUCUUGG
RNAcentral lists this ribosomal RNA (209 nucleotides) under uncultured bacterium. RNAcentral describes it as "partial 16S ribosomal RNA". It matches the Rfam family "Bacterial small subunit ribosomal RNA", at positions 29 to 224 of the family's 1533-position model. The record is from RNAcentral.